GCGGGAAUGGUGGAAUUGGUAGACACGCACGUUUCAGAGGCGUGUGGCUUUACGGCUGUGUGGGUUCGAGUCCCACUUCCCGCA
This 84-nucleotide transfer RNA is filed under the name Chitinophagales bacterium. It matches the Rfam family "tRNA". Rfam says of the family: Transfer RNA (tRNA) molecules are approximately 80 nucleotides in length. Their secondary structure includes four short double-helical elements and three loops (D, anti-codon, and T loops). Further hydrogen bonds mediate the characteristic L-shaped molecular structure. tRNAs have two regions of fundamental functional importance: the anti-codon, which is responsible for specific mRNA codon recognition, and the 3' end, to which the tRNAs corresponding amino acid is attached (by aminoacyl-tRNA synthetases). tRNAs cope with the degeneracy of the genetic code in two manners: having more than one tRNA (with a specific anti-codon) for a particular amino acid; and 'wobble' base-pairing, i.e. permitting non-standard base-pairing at the 3rd anti-codon position. The record is from Rfam by way of RNAcentral. Lineage: Bacteria; Pseudomonadati; Bacteroidota; Chitinophagia; Chitinophagales.